RNAcentral lists this ribosomal RNA (773 nucleotides) under uncultured Neocallimastigales. RNAcentral describes it as "partial large subunit ribosomal RNA". It matches the Rfam family "Eukaryotic large subunit ribosomal RNA", at positions 24 to 645 of the family's 3401-position model. The record is from RNAcentral. Lineage: Eukaryota; Fungi; Neocallimastigomycota; Neocallimastigomycetes; Neocallimastigales.
UAUCUCUGUAGAGUCUGCAUAUCAAUAAGCGGAGGAAAAGAAACUAACAAGGAUUCCCUUAGUAACGGCGAGUGAAGCGGGAAGAGCUCAAAUUUGAAAUCUUCAAGGUUUUACCUUGACGAAUUGUAGUUUAAAGAAGUGUUUUCUGUUGAAGUUUUGGUAAAAGUUCUUUGGAAUAGGACAUCAUAGAGGGUGAGAAUCCCGUAUUUGACCAUUAUUUUCAGCUGUGUGAUACACUUUCAAAGAGUCGGAUUGUUUGGGAAUGCAGUCCAAAAUGGGUGGUAAAUUUCAUCUAAAGCUAAAUAUUGGCGAGAGACCGAUAGCGAACAAGUACCGUGAGGGAAAGAUGAAAAGAACUUUGAAAAGAGAGUUAAACAGUACGUGAAAUUGUCAAAAGGGAAGCGUUUGACACCAGUGUUGUUUUCUCGAAAAUCAAUUAAAAGAUGGAUUUUGUUUUGAUAGUUAUGACUUCAUCAGCUUAGCUUCUUUCUUACGUACUUUCUUAAUGCACUUUUCGUUUAACAAGUCGACAUCAAUUUCUUUUGUUGUAAAAGGGUACAUGGAAGGUGGCUUUCUUUUCGGAGAAAGUGUUUAUAGCCUUGUGCCUCUGCAAUCGGAGAGAUUGAGGUCUGCAGCGUAGAUCCUUCGGGGUUAGAUACAUUUGUGCUAAGUUAUAGCUUUCAUAGACAACUUGUUGACUAUGAUUAGUCAUUGUAGCUUACUCGCUUAUGCUAUUUUACCUACGCUUAGGAUGUUGAUGUGAUACUGCGAGC